GCAUGAUAUCAUUCCCCUUUUCAAAAUUCUUUGAUGAGUUUCAUCUCAUCUAAACACACAUAAAUAAAAACUAAAACCAAAACCUUAUCCAUACACACAUGACAUAGAGAUGAUGAACCCUUCAUCUCCUGCUCUCUCAUUUCAAAACUAGACAACACCCUAUCCCUUCUACCCUCACCCCCUCCCACUCGAAAUCCCGUGCAAACUUGUAAAAGCAGUUCAUCAACAACCCUGGUUCUCUUUCUCCCUCUUAUUUACAUCCAGCGAGACCACCGGCGGAGCCGGUGACCCUUCGACGUCUCCAUUCCUGCCGCCUCCUCACACACAGCCUAACACCCCCCUCUCGUCUCUAUGUUAAUCGCCGACCACCACCAUUGGUGGCGGCGCACGGCAGUGGCAGCAGAGCCCCGACGGCUCGAGGCGCUGGUGGUGAGCUUGCUGUUGAUGACGAUGGUGGACCCGUGAGCGACUGACAGAGGGAGAAAGAGCACAGUCCGCCGGCGGAGAUGGCAGCGGUGCAAGCGGUGACGAUGGCGGCGGAGGUAUCUCGGCGUCAGGUUUUGUUUCAGAGGACGAGUAAUUAAGGUCCGUUUCCAGGUUUUGUUUCAGAGCACGUGUAGUUCAGGUACGGUUUGAUUUUUCUGUUCAGUUUUGGUUCGAGUUUGAAUCGGGUUCAUUUUGAUCCAUGUCCGAUUGUUUUUUUGUAUUCUAGUGACUCGGGUCAAUUUGGUUUGGUGCUUUGUUUCAGUUUUGCUUUCGGGAUCGGUCAAAACUGAUCAGUUCGGUUCAACAGGUUUAGUUUCGGGCGGUUCAGUUCAGUUCCGUUAUGUUUUGUUUCGGUUCAGUCAACGAAGUCGCACCAGUCAACACAACCGGUGGACUGGUCAAUGCUAGUCAAGGAAAGUCAAUGGUCAGAUCUGGUGUUUCGGGCCAGAUUCAGACGGGUUAUGGAUCAAUGGUUACGGGUUCGGGUCAUCGGGUUAACCAUGAGACGUGAUACCUUACCGACGCGAAUGUUUAAAAAAUUAUUGUUUUGUAUUUGAUUAUCACGUAACCGUAUUAAAUUUAAAUUGUUAUAAAAAUACACAGAAAUGCAUAUAAAUACUCAUUCUUUUAUUACUGUUGAAUUUUGACAAAAAUAUUGACGACUUGUAUUGUCGGGAUCGUCCAUAAACAGAGGAAACUCUGCCCGUUUUUCGUAAAAAAUCCACGAAACAAUACGUGUUUAAUUUCAAAACGAUUAUUAUUUUGAUUCAUUUUCUUUUAUAACCAAAUCUCUAAAUUUAUAACAUAGAUGAAUAAUUCUUUUUAUAACAAUAAAUUUUUAUAUAUCAAGAUAAAAUAUAAAUACGAAAUCCAAAUUAUGGAAAACCUAAAUAUUAGGAUUAUUCUUUUUCAAAACCAAUAAAUAAUAAUGAAUUCGUGAUAUUUUAAAUAUUUAGGAUAAAUACUCUCGUUCGUUCUCUUGAAAUUCCGUUUACUCAUGCACCAUCGUUUGCCCUUAGGGUGACCUCGGUGUUCCGUCCUCCUAAACUCGUAUACUCGUCAACACUUGGAUAAUCGGAAGACUUAGCAAUUAUGUUGAGGAUUGAUGAUGCUAUGAAAAUGGACUAGAAAAGAUGCCUAGAUACUCACUUAGACGUUUAGGUUUAAAGUGUUGUAUCAAUUUUGUUAUUGUCAUGUUUGAACAAUGUUGUUAUUUAAGUUUCUUUGUAAUAUUUGACAAUUUUGGUACAAAAUGAAAUCGGUUGAAUUAAAUAUUGUCACAAAUAGUGUUACGAAGUC
Molecule: long non-coding RNA, 1785 nt
Organism: Helianthus annuus (common sunflower)
Lineage: Eukaryota; Viridiplantae; Streptophyta; Magnoliopsida; Asterales; Asteraceae
Exons: 2
Source: RefSeq, a predicted model, not a curated record